UCUGCGCCCAGCCCACGUUGU
RNAcentral lists this non-coding RNA (21 nucleotides) under Caenorhabditis elegans. The record is from RNAcentral. Lineage: Eukaryota; Metazoa; Nematoda; Chromadorea; Rhabditida; Rhabditidae.